GGACUGGACAACUCUCGUAGUCGCCAAGAUGUUUGUCAAGAAACUCGUUGAGAAGGCUUCGCGUAAGCCAGGAAGCAACUUUGAUAGUUUGAAAGGAUGCGAGGUGGAACCACGUCUUGCCUUCCACUAUGGCAUUCCAUCAGGUUCUACUACUUCUGCCUAUGAUUCUAUCCAAAAGAUACUUGCUCUUUCUACCAGAGAUGGUCAAAUUAAGCUAUUUGGAAAAGAUAAUUCUCAGACUCUACUCGAGUCUAAGGAGGCAAUUCCUAGCAAGUUUUUGCAAUUCAUGGAGAACCAGGGAUUCCUUCUUAACGUUACUUCAAAGAACGAAAUUGAGGUAUGGGAUAUAGACAGGAAGUUGUUGGCACAUGUGAAUGUUUUCGAGCAAG
RNAcentral lists this unclassified non-coding RNA (389 nucleotides) under Hevea brasiliensis (rubber tree). The record is from RNAcentral. Lineage: Eukaryota; Viridiplantae; Streptophyta; Magnoliopsida; Malpighiales; Euphorbiaceae.